This 24-nucleotide non-coding RNA is filed under the name Cricetulus griseus (Chinese hamster). Lineage: Eukaryota; Metazoa; Chordata; Mammalia; Rodentia; Cricetidae. The record is from RNAcentral.
CCCAUGCUGUAUUCUGAAAAGAUC